UAGGGAAUCUUCCGCAAUGGACGAACGUCUGACGGAGCAACGCCGCGUGAGUGAAGAAGGCUUUCGGUUCGUAAAACUCUGCUGUUAGGGAAGAAAAAAUGUAUAGUAACUAUAUACAAAAGAGACGGUACCUAACCAGAAAGCCACGGCUAACUACGUGCCAGCAGCCGCGGUAAUACGUAGGUGGCAAGCGUUGUCCGGAGUUAUUGGGCGUAAAGCGCGCGCAGGUGGUUUAGAAAGACUGAUGUGAAAGCCCACGGCUCAACCGGGGAGGGUCAUUGGAAACUAAUAAACUUGAGUGCAGGAGAGGAAAGUGGAAUUCCUAGUGUGGCGGUGGAAUGCGUGGAGAUUAGGAGGAACACCGGUGGCGAAAGCGGCUUUUUGGCCUGCAACUGACACUGAGGCGGGAAAGCGUGGGGGGCAAACAGG
This 429-nucleotide ribosomal RNA is filed under the name Verrucomicrobiota bacterium. RNAcentral describes it as "Verrucomicrobia bacterium partial 16S ribosomal RNA". It matches the Rfam family "Bacterial small subunit ribosomal RNA", at positions 355 to 776 of the family's 1533-position model. The record is from RNAcentral. Lineage: Bacteria; Pseudomonadati; Verrucomicrobiota.